Molecule: small RNA, 1483 nt
Filed under: Aplysia californica (California sea hare)
Lineage: Eukaryota; Metazoa; Mollusca; Gastropoda; Aplysiida; Aplysiidae
Description: pTSP-like peptide neurotransmitter precursor
Source: RNAcentral
GUUGAGGGACAUACGUCGUUUCUGGAAGGAAGUUUGAACAACUCUCUCCUCCUCCUUCUUCUUACUGAUGUGUCGUGUUAAACACGCGUGAAAAGUCGUCUUGAUAAGAAGUCCAGCAGUUCUUCAAGGACCAACGCAGAAAAACCGGUUGUUUGAAAGGUUUUCCCAUCAGCCCCAGUAAUGACGCUCCACCUCGCAUCCCCCUUCAUUCUCCUAUUCACGAUAGCUUAUUCCCUCACUUCCGCCGUCCAAGGACUCGAACCUCUGCCCCCAGCGUCUCUGUCGGACUCUCCGGCCAGCGGGGCUGACGUGCCCCCUCUCCCCUCAUCUGCAGCGACGAACGCCGCCGUGGACAAAGAAUGGCUGCGUCAGAAGCUGGAAGAAGGACAAUUUCUACCACAACAGGACAAACGAUGGGGAGGUAUCAAUUCUUGGAUGACGCACCGUCUCGGCGGACCCUCCGAGAGCGAUUCGAGCCAGGACUCUCUGGAUAAACAACUGCUCGUGAACAACGUCCAGAACUACGAUGACUCGAGUAAGAGGAAGUGGUCGAAAUUCUCGUCUUGGGGGAAGCGCGACGCUUCGGAGGAAACGCCUGAAGGUGGUGAGGGUGAAGACGGACUCGGCGCUGUAAAGAAGUGGAAGAAUAUGGCGGUGUGGGGGAAACGGGCAGAAGAUGGUUUAGACAAGAGAUGGAAGCAGAUGGCCACUUGGGGCAAGAGAGAAGACGGUGAUGUUUUAGGGUUGGGGACGGACAAGAGAUGGAAACAAAUGGCCUCGUGGGGUAAACGAUUAGAUGAUUCUGACCGAGAUAAGAAAUGGAAACAAAUGUCUGUUUGGGGAAAGAGGGAGGAUAACGGGGAACCACUGGACAAAAAGUGGAAACAAAUGAGUGUGUGGGGGAAGAGAGAUACUUUAGAUGACCCGGAGAAAAGAUGGAAGCAGAUGGCAGUCUGGGGCAAAAGGCAAGGUUUAGAUGACAGAAACGAUAAAAGAUGGAAGCAGAUGGCGACUUGGGGCAAAAGAAACUCCUCAGAAAACUAUGAUAAGAGGUGGAAACAAAUGUCUGUCUGGGGCAAGAGAGAUGGGGAUGGUGACUUAGAUAAGCGGUGGAAGCAGAUGUCCGUUUGGGGGAAGAGGAAUGGGGAUGGCGACUUAGAUAAACGGUGGAAACAAAUGUCAGUUUGGGGGAAACGGGAUGGGGAUGAAGAUGUUGAAAAGAGAUGGAAACAAAUGUCCGUUUGGGGGAAGAGGGAUGGAGAUGCUGACUUAGAUAAGCGGUGGAAACAAAUGUCUGUUUGGGGAAAGAGAGACGAAGAUGGCAACCUAGAUAAACGGUGGAAACAAAUGUCCGUUUGGGGGAAGAGAGAUGAGGAUGGUAACUUAGAUAAACGGUGGAAACAGAUGUCCGUUUGGGGAAAGAGGGAUGGAGAUGGCAACUUAGAUAAACGGUGGAAGCAAAUGUCCGUUUGGGGGAGAGAGA